Molecule: ribosomal RNA, 492 nt
Filed under: uncultured bacterium
Lineage: Bacteria
Description: partial 16S ribosomal RNA
Rfam family: Bacterial small subunit ribosomal RNA
Source: RNAcentral
AGUGAACGCUGGCGGUAGGCCUAACACAUGCAAGUCGAACGGCAGCACAGUAAGAGCUUGCUCUUGCGGGUGGCGAGUGGCGGACGGGUGAGGAAUACAUCGGAAUCUACUUUUUCGUGGGGGAUAACGUAGGGAAACUUACGCUAAUUCCGCAUACGACCUACGGGUGAAAGCAGGGGAUCUUCGGACCUUGCGCGAUUGAAUGAGCCGAUGUCGGAUUAGCUAGUUGGCGGGGUAAAGGCCCACCAAGGCGACGAUCCGUAGCUGGUCUGAGAGGAUGAUCAGCCACACUGGAACUGAGACACGGUCCAGACUCCUACGGGAGGCAGCAGUGGGGAAUAUUGGACAAUGGGCGCAAGCCUGAUCCAGCCAUACCGCGUGGGUGAAGAAGGCCUUCGGGUUGUAAAGCCCUUUUGUUGGGAAAGAAAAGCAGCAGGUUAAUACCCCGCUGUUCUGACGGUACCCAAAGAAUAAGCACCGGCUAACUUCGUG